CGGAUGAAGACGAUGAGGAGGACUCAGAGGAGGAGAAAGGGAAGACAUGGGAGGAGCUGGAGAGGGAGGCAACUAAUGCUGACAGGGAGAAGGAUGAUGAGUCUGAUAGCGAAGAAGAUAGGAAGAGAAGGAAGGUAAAGACCUUUGGGAAGUCACGGGCUCCAGACCCCAGGAGAAGCGCUCCUGCCAAGAGGCCAAGGAUGAGGUAGACGUCUAAAUUCCUUGCUUAGGCUUUGGUAAUCAACAUCAUGUCCAGACCUGGGUGAAGCAUCUUAUUAGCUAUCUAGUUUCGUG
This 294-nucleotide unclassified non-coding RNA is filed under the name Hevea brasiliensis (rubber tree). The record is from RNAcentral. Lineage: Eukaryota; Viridiplantae; Streptophyta; Magnoliopsida; Malpighiales; Euphorbiaceae.